AGUGAACGCUGGCGGUAGGCCUAACACAUGCAAGUCGAACGGCAGCACAGGAGAGCUUGCUCUCUGGGUGGCGAGUGGCGGACGGGUGAGGAAUACAUCGGAAUCUACUUUUUCGUGGGGGAUAACGUAGGGAAACUUACGAUAAUACCGCAUACACCCUACGGGUGAAAGCAGGGGAUCUUCGGACCUUGCGCGAUUGAAUGAGCCGAUGACAGAUAAGCUAGUUGGCGGGGUAAAGGGCCACCAAGGCGACAAUCCGUAGCUGGUCUGGAAAGAUGAUCAGCCAAACUUGAACUUAGGCCAGGUCCAAACUCCUACUGGGGGCAGCCGUGGGGAAUAGUGGGCAAUGGGCGCAAGCCUUAACCCACCAAACCGCGGGGGUGAAAGAAGCCUUCGGGUUGUUAAGCCCUUUUGUUGGGAAAAAAAACCAGCUGGUUAAAACCCCGUUUGGAUUGACGUACCCAAAGAAUAAGCACCGGCUAACUUCGUGCCAGCCGCCGCCGUAA
RNAcentral lists this ribosomal RNA (506 nucleotides) under uncultured bacterium. Its description in RNAcentral is "partial 16S ribosomal RNA". It matches the Rfam family "Bacterial small subunit ribosomal RNA", at positions 29 to 523 of the family's 1533-position model. The record is from RNAcentral.